This 453-nucleotide small RNA is filed under the name Pan troglodytes (chimpanzee). RNAcentral's name for it is "processed transcript". Lineage: Eukaryota; Metazoa; Chordata; Mammalia; Primates; Hominidae. The record is from RNAcentral.
GCACGCCACCCUCCUCGUCCCCUCUCAUCACCCACCUCGUUCCAUGCUGUGUGUGCGCAUUCCCGUCGACAGAGCCGUCCUGUUUACCUAUUGUGUUUUACAGGCCGAGACAGCGGCUAACAGGAUAUGUAAGGUUCUUGCUGUGAAUCAAGAGAAUGAGAGGCUGAUGGAAGAAUAUGAGAGGCUAGCGAGUGAGCUUUUGGAAUGGAUUCGUCGCACGAUCCCCUGGCUGGAGAACCGGACUCCCGAGAAGACCAUGCAAGCCAUGCAGAAGAAGCUGGAGGACUUCCGGGAUUACCGCCGGAAGCACAAGCCACCCAAGGUGCAGGAGAAAUGCCAGCUGGAGAUCAACUUCAACACGCUGCAGACCAAGCUGCGGAUCAGCAACCGGCCUGCCUUCAUGCCCUCCGAGGGCAAGAUGGUGUCGGAUAUUGCUGGUGCCUGGCAGAGGCU